Molecule: long non-coding RNA, 1234 nt
Organism: Astatotilapia calliptera (eastern happy)
Lineage: Eukaryota; Metazoa; Chordata; Actinopteri; Cichliformes; Cichlidae
Source: Ensembl
GUUUGCGGCACUCAGGCUUCACAUUUUUUAGGCACAGUCAUGACCUACUACCCAAAGGACACUUUUGCAGAUGGAUCUGUCACAGUGACCGUUCGGUAUAAACUGAACUUCCACACAGCUGCCUGCAUAAAUGAUGAAACAUGGAAUUGCCUCAGUGGUGAUUGUGGGACUGGAACCUACACUCUACAUGUGGUAAAACAGGAGAGCAGUGGAGACUGGUGUCAGAGAGAGGGAAUCAUGACUCGACAGGUUCCCAGCAACGCUCUGUUUGAACUUCGGUUGGAGGGUAGUGAAUGGAUAUCCAACGUCAAAAAUGACAUUUCAUCAUGGAGAGCUGUGACUCGGGUGGAACUGAGGAACCGGUCCGACACCGGCAAAGCCAACACAUCACCUCAGACCACCAUCCUACCAGCUGUGGGAGUUCCUUCAAACUGUCAGAGAGAUUUCAGCCUGUUGAUGUUUGACCCUGAUGGAGACGAAGUUAAAUGCAGAUAUGGAAACUCUGCACUCUCAGAGUGUAACCCCUGCACUCCACCGUCUGUCCUCAGCCUCUCAUCGUCGUCUUGUACUCUGUCAUUCAGCCCCACCAGCAGCAGUAAUGAAGGUUCGUAUGUAGUACAGCUGGUGAUGGAGGACUUCCCCAGACAGACCAUCACUCUGACUCAAACCAACGGGACACAAACAACAAUAACUACCAACGAUGCCAUCAGCAAAAUACCGAUUCAGUUUGCUUUGAAAGUUGAUCCUGCAGUGCCAUCCUGCACAGAAGGACUCUUUCUGCCCAAGUUUCUUCCUCCAACACCAGCCAACGGAGCUCAGCUCUACAACAAUGUCAGUCAGACUCUGGAAAUUCACAUCACUGCAGAGGCACUUAACUCCACGGUCUCUGAGCUGCUCUACAGCGGGCCGUACAAUUUAAUCAGCAGUCCAUCAGGACCAGGACAGUUCACCCUGAGAUGGACACCAUCUGAAAGCGAAGAAGGACAAAGCCUCCCCAUCUGUUUUGCUGUCCAGGCAGUUUCUCGUGGGACCAAGUAUCACUCAGAGCUUCGAUGUGUCACUGUGACCGUUGUAAAAGGACCAGUAAUAACCACAACACCCGAAACGACUACACCCAGUGAACCAUCUUAUGUUCUCAAAUUGAAGAUUACCUCUUUGGUGGACUUGUCAAAAGUUGAUAGAAAUUACUUACUUACACAGACUGACAGAAACCAGAGUUGCUGUCACAGCGGGG